This 1824-nucleotide ribosomal RNA is filed under the name Triticum aestivum (bread wheat). RNAcentral describes it as "partial small subunit ribosomal RNA". Lineage: Eukaryota; Viridiplantae; Streptophyta; Magnoliopsida; Poales; Poaceae. The record is from RNAcentral.
GGAGGGCAUCGCUGUCGUCGUCGGUCGUCACCCGCGACCCACCAACGGGAGAGGAGGAGGGGGAGGUGGUGGGGUAGAAGCUGCCGUUUGGUCGCCCUGACGAUCACAACCCGCCUAGGACCCCGGCACUAUGCCCCUCCAGGACCGGCCUAGAGCCACCACAGGGCCGAGCCUAGACUAUGCGCCCCUACCUCCCACUCACGCUCCUUCCACGCCGUCGCUUACCUGAACCUCCCCUCCUUUUGUAGCAGCAGUUCCGGGCGUUCCUCCUGCAGCGGCACCGGCGCGGCCACCUACACCUACCACCACUAGUGCACCUAGAGCGACUGCCCCUCCGCGACCAGCCUAGACGUUGGCGCCACCGUAGAGGGCUCCUCGGCCGGUCCCGCGGAUGGUUCUUCCAACCUAGACGCCUGCGCUCGCCCUCCUUCUUCCCCUUACACGACUUGCCGUUCCACCACAGACGGAGCCGCCGUGGCGCCCCCUUCUUCGGGCCAGACAGCGUUUCGCGGAGUAAGGGCCGCUCUCCCUGGUGGCCGCAGUCCUUCCCACCGCGAUACUGGAGGGACCGUUUCGUUCGGUUCGGUCUCCCCUUCCCACGGCACGGUUUACCUUGACGUCGCAGGAGCCCUGCCCCGUGCCUCUUCUUCCCCUUAAACCGAGUCUACGGACGGUGAGUAGUUAGGUACGGACACUUCGGACUUAGCCACCUGAGUUGAGGUUUGCUGUGAAGAAGACUUCAGGUUCUCAGUUUACUCUUGUGACGGUUUGGAAUGUCCGUCAGUAAAGGUUGCUUUUACCUCCUGCUACACGUGAGGUGAUGUAGCUCGUGCUUAUGAGUUGCGUCCUUACGACGACGGAGACCAAAAUCAAAGGCUAACCUCCUCGCACGACUCUUCGCGUUUCUCAAGAAUUUUUUUGAACUCCUCUUUUAAGUACGGUUCCUCUAACUUGUUUGCUUAAACGUCCUUUUUAGAUUCCUCUCGGUUCUCCGGCUCUAAUUUUCCGAAUCCUUCUCGGACUGUAAAUUUCGUCGUGGGUACGGUUCGAAGAUAUUCCUCGUCGGAGGAUUUCAACUCAACUUUUUCUAACGUGGUUGUGCACGAUCCAGUGGCUUCGAACCGGCUGUGUUCGGUUGGUCAAGACAGUGACGACGAAGACGUCUACCGAGACAGAGUACACUCUCGGGUGCCGCGUGUUGAUUAGGUCGGUUCCAUUUGUCUCCACACCUUUUAUUAUUUGGAGCCCAAUGACGAUCGUUUGGACCGGUCUCUAACCAGUGUUUUCGAGGGAGGGAUCGUAGAUAGUGACGUUUCCGACUUUGCUCUGGACAGCGAUGUUUCGUCUUUUGGAGGUUCUGUUUUGGUUUUCAAAGUUCUCUUUUCCAUGUCGUCGACGUUCUCUUGGGUCAUCUUUAGGGGGGACGUCUUGGAAGACGGAACCUUCCCGAACGACGACUUGGUUCACAACUUCUACUCUGUCCUGAACCGAGCUGACGGGGAGGCCAGUGAAGUUUACUCCAUGACCAGGUACCGACUAGACAGCGCGUAAAAAAAAUAAAAGCAGGAACGUCAGGACACUUAUCACUCCACACACGAAGAACCUUUCAACUUAGCGAGUUUCAUAGCACCUUAAUAAUAAAGACAUCAUCGAUAGAAAAAAGAAGUCGAAGAGUAACUCGUACGCCACAUAUAACGAACUUUUAAAGUACAAGUUUGAAAAACUCAAGAACACAUAUAACUUAAACAUGCACCCCUUGUACUUACGUUGAACACCUUAAGUAAACACAAGUCUUUAAGCAUAGUCAAUUGAAAAAAUGGUAGA